GUCAUGCCUCCUAACAUCGGUAACACAGUUGCAUCAUCAUCUGGUGCAAUGGCUGCUUAUGCAUCAGCAGCUCCAACAAUGAGCUUCAGCUACCCAAAUAUGCCGACCAAUGAAACUCAGCACCUGGCUAUAUUGCAGAAUAAUGGGUAUCCAUUUCCAGUCCCGGCGCAUGUUGGCGCACCACCUGCUUAUAGAGGAGUUACUGGGCAGCCUAUGCCAUUCUUUA
RNAcentral lists this long non-coding RNA (226 nucleotides) under Arabidopsis lyrata. Its description in RNAcentral is "long non-coding RNA (ALYR_LNC000934)". Lineage: Eukaryota; Viridiplantae; Streptophyta; Magnoliopsida; Brassicales; Brassicaceae. The record is from RNAcentral.